GGGUUGAUAGCUCAGCUGGUAGAGCAACUUGCCGUUAACAAGAAGGUCGUCAGUUCGAAUCUGGCUCAGCCCG
Molecule: transfer RNA, 73 nt
Filed under: Ackermannviridae sp.
Lineage: Duplodnaviria; Heunggongvirae; Uroviricota; Caudoviricetes; Pantevenvirales; Ackermannviridae
Description: tRNA-Asn
Rfam family: tRNA
About the family: Transfer RNA (tRNA) molecules are approximately 80 nucleotides in length.
Source: RNAcentral